RNAcentral lists this long non-coding RNA (2307 nucleotides) under Mytilus galloprovincialis (Mediterranean mussel). The record is from RNAcentral. Lineage: Eukaryota; Metazoa; Mollusca; Bivalvia; Mytilida; Mytilidae.
UUCAAUAGAUAACCUAGAUAAACAUGUUACGCUAUCAGCAUCUCCUUUGGUUUUUGUCAAUGUGGGGAUACAGUCUGUGCUGCUCUUCCUUGUGUACUUGUUAUUCAAAUGGAAAUGUCUACUGUAAUAAUCCACAACAAAUGUUAUAUGCAAUGCCUUCAGAUUUACCUUCAAAUACUAGAUACCUGUAAGUACUAUAUAUAUAUUUCAGAAUAUCAAAUGUCUUUUAACAUGUAAUUUAUGUGUACAAUGAUUAAUUACAAUGAUUUCACAUAUUAAACACAUGUAAACACGUUAUUAAUUACGACCAUCGUAACAACCUCUUUAAUACAAUGUCGCAUAGUUGAAACAGCAUAAGCUCAUGUGACAUGACAUCAUUUCUUACUUAUCACCUCAUGAAAACGCCUGGUUAUUUUAAGUCUGAUAGCUCAGCAUUAGAAAGUGUUGUUCUUAAGUGAAUGGUUAUUUGGUGAACGUCAGAAACGCUGAUUAAGAUGUUUAUCGUGCAUCAUCGCAUCAAAAGCCGUAUCCCAACGCUUAAUGCACUUCUUUGAUAACUUGAAAACUAGCAUUAUAUUCUUAUUCCGCACCUCCACUUACCAAUUGUAAAUUAUGUGCAUCAGUCGGCGUAACUUCUCGCAGUCGAGGCUAGAACGCUUUCUGUCAUAUCAGUUUAUUUAUAAAAGUAAAAGAAGUUUGAUUUACAUGAGUAAGUUUUAAUGCUCCAGGUAAGUGGAAAGUAAAAUCCCAAAAAUACCGAACUCAGAGGAAAUUCAAUACGGAAAGUCCCUAAUCAAAUGACAAAAUCAAAGGCUCAAACACAUCAUACGAAUAAAUAAAAACUGUCCUGAAUAGGCUUACCCUCUCGGAGCACAUGAGAUCAUACCCAGGUUCGAGUUAUAACAUUUUAGUUUGUAACCCGGAUUUUUUUUUUUUUUUUUCUCUAUCGAUUUAUGAAUUUUGAAUAGCAGUAUACUAUUGUUGUCUUUAUUGCUUAGUCCUUAGUUUUAUAUGAUGUGUCAUGUGUACUAUUGUUUGUCUAUUAGUUGUUUUCAUUUUGUCAUAUUAUUUUUUUAACUUUGAGUUAGACUUUCCCCUCUGGUAUCUUUUGCCCGUCUUUUGGUACGUGCAUUUUCUUGUGUAGAAAGUGGUGAAUUAAAACUGAUUUUAUAGCUAUUUAAACAUUUCACUCAUAUGACAGUUGUAUAAAAUUCCAUUAUAAAGACAACGAUGUGCGAACAAACCAAACAGACUAAAGAGGUAUUUAAGUCAAAACUUAGGGUACAGCAGUCAACAUUGUUUCAUUAUCUUAUUCACUAUGAAAACACAACACAUAUAUAAAAAAUCAUUUUAUAGUUCGUUCUGAUUUUGUACUGUUAUACCAAUGUCCCAGGUUAGGGGAGGGGGGGGGGUCCCGCUAACAUAAUUAACCCAGCCACAUUAUUUUUGUAUGUGCCUGUCCCAAGUCAGGAGCCUGCAUUUGAAAGGCCGUACGGUGACCUAAAGGUGUUAUUGUCUGUGUCAUUUUGGUCUUCUGUGGACUGUUGUCUCGUUGGCAAUCAUACCACAUCUUCUUUUUUAUAUUUACCAUGAUACAAUAACACAAUGACGGAAUUUAUCAGUGCAGAGCCACGUCAUAAGUAACAUAGAAAUACAGAAAAAGACAUUAGGAAAAAAGAAAAAUUGGAAUACAAACAUUAUGUUACUUAUUGACUAUUGGACCGCAAAUGGUCAAAAAAUAACAUAAGGAUCUAUGAGCUUCGGUUCCGCAGCUAUGGCGGGAUGUUUACAUAUAGAUCCAUAAAUGGAAAAUAUUUUUAUAAAUAUACAUAUCAAAUUUAGUUAAAAUAAGGGAAAUAUUCAUUAGUAUACUACAUUUCACUGUAAGACAAUAGGAUAGCAUAGAGUAUCUGACUUUUUAAAUCCUGACAUAAAUGUAAUUUUAAGUAAUCAUGUUAUAAAAGAGGGUCGAAAGAUACCAGAGGGAGUCAAACUCAUCGAUUGAAAAUAAACUUAUAAGCCAUGGCUAAAAAUAAAUAUUUAAGCAGGCAAAUAAUAGUACAGAACACUAAAGACUAAACAAUAAGAACCCCACCAAAAACUGGGGGUGAUCUCAGGUGCUCUGGACAGAUAAGCUGAUCCUGCUGCACAUGUGAAAACUGCAAAAAAAUAGCAUGAAAUGAUAGCUCAGGUCAAUUCUUUUAUUGGCAUUUUUUAUAACUCUAUUUCCAGCUACUUUAGUCACCAGCUGUUACAAAAUCUCAGCUCUUUGAAUUGUAAUCAUUUACCGAACCUUCAAUAUUUGUA